GGGCCGCCGCCGCGCCCGCCCCAGAGGUCGUUUCCCCUGCAGUUUCCAGUAAGUGACGGUCCCAGUCGGAGCUGCGGCUAGAAAGGGGCCGCGCUGGCAUUUCUUCGGCAACCCUCCCCAUCCCUCCUUUUAAGUCCCUUUCCCGCCUCCGGGUCACUCCUGGUGUGUCCGCCACCCCUGCCAGCGCUUGAGCUUUCCCCAGAAGAUGCGUCUUCUCUCUUGAGCGCAUCGUUAAUCUUAAACGGCCGCUGACCUCCUGUCUGUACGUGGGAGGGUGUGUUUGGCCCGACGCUCGUUCUCACCCUUCCUCGUGCUGCCAGGAUGACGGCCCCGCGCUCACAGUCCGCGGGAAGGCGCCCAACCUCCGCUGCUGCCCGCACCUGCCCUUUCCUGCUUCAGAAUCUUCCCUCUUCUAACGAAACUCUGGCAAGGACCAGCUCUCUCAGGGCAGCACCUCUCUUCCCGUCUAAAGCCCCUUCUCAUUAAAAAAUCGCAGCAACGAACAAAAGAAUGUCUUAAGACACCGACCUAAGUGUUUUACACUCCUAUUUACUCAUGGCAGCAAUCCUGAAGGAGAGUCAAAUGAGAAAACUGAGGCCCAGAAAAGUUAAAGAAUUUGCUUGAGACAUGGCAGGCAGGCAGGUUUUAUAGACAUGGACAAGAAGUCUGCACACAGAAGUUCUGAGGAUGCCAGGACCGGCAAAAGUGGAGGUAAGAAUCUUACUUGCUUUAAGAACUUUUGAGUAACUUAAUGUACGUUUCAUAAACCAUUUUGUUUCUCUCUCACUUGUGGCUAAUAUUUGAGAGAAUAAUCGUGUUGCGCUUUGUAUCAAUCUAAGGUAAACACAAACAAAAGAAAAGAGAAAAGCAAAACCAAGAACACCACCGAUCCCGACAUAGGUCAACAUCUCAUUCUUCAGAUGACUGUGUGUUUCCUUCUUCUGUAUCAUCUUCAGGAAGCCACACGGAUUCAAGUCUAGAAGGUGCUGCCAAGGGAAGAAUUAAGAGAAAGAGAGGAAAGAAAAGGAGUAAACGGAGAAAAGAAAGAAAGGUAACUGGGGAUAAUUUAAUACAGGAAGAAAAUUUAGCUAUCCGAGUAUUCCGCGCUUUCUUGCUAAUAAAGGAAAACAGCCUACACGGGACUUUGCAGAGCUGGAAGGAACGAGUGGUGAACAUGCCGUUAACAUGGAGCUAAUCGAAUAGUAUCCUUUUUCUUUUCAAAUACUGUAAUCGAAGUUUCACCUUCUCAGGUGUCAGUUACCUGAAGCACACUGUGGUCCGAACCUACUAAAUGGAAGAAUUCCAAAGAUAGACCAGUCGUAAGUUUUCACUUUUGUCCAUUCUGAGUAGUGUGAUAAAACCUCACGCCAUCCUACUCCGUCCCACUCUGGAUGGGAAUCAUCUUUGUCCAGCAUAUCCACGCUAUAUAUGCUACCCACCCCGGGUCACCUAGUAGCCAUCUCCGUUAUUGGAUCAUCAGCUGUCACAGGACUGUAGUUCUUGUGGUCAGGUACCCUUAUUUUACUUAAAAUGGCUCCAAAGCCAAAGAGUAGUGAUGCUGGCAAUUUGGAUAUUCUCUUACUGUGGCUGAUUU
RNAcentral lists this long non-coding RNA (1594 nucleotides) under Sus scrofa (pig). RNAcentral describes it as "lncRNA (ENSSSCG00035025171.1)". Lineage: Eukaryota; Metazoa; Chordata; Mammalia; Artiodactyla; Suidae. The record is from RNAcentral.